RNAcentral lists this ribosomal RNA (270 nucleotides) under Triticum aestivum (bread wheat). RNAcentral describes it as "partial small subunit ribosomal RNA". The record is from RNAcentral. Lineage: Eukaryota; Viridiplantae; Streptophyta; Magnoliopsida; Poales; Poaceae.
AGCUUCAAGAAUACGCGGAGGAGGUGGCCCGGGUCGGCGUCGGCGCCGUCCGGCGCGGGCCACGGGCCCGCUUCCAAGUGCGUCUGCGCGCCGGCCACCCUCGCUGGGUCCUUCAAGUGCCGCUUCCACCGCACCAACUCUCAGGGCCGCGGUCACGGCCAGGACCAGGGAAGCCGCCCUUCUUCGCCCCCUUCACCGGCCGCGGCCAACACGAUGCCGCGGCACCCGGCCUCGCCGUCCUCGUCCUCCGGCACCGUCGCGACCCAGUGA